AGCUCCAAUAGCGUAUAUUAAAGUUGUUGCAGUUAAAAAGCUCGUAGUUGGAUCUCGGGUGCAGGCUUGCGGUUCUGCUCGUGUAGACACUGCUCGUCCUGACCUACCGGCCGGUUGUCCCUUGGUGCCCUUGACUGGGUGUCUCGGGCGACCGGAAAGUUUACUUUGAAAAAAUUAGAGUGUUCAAAGCAGGCAGUUGGCCUGAAUAAUGGUGCAUGGAAUAAUAGAAGAGGAUCUCUGUUCCCCUUUGUUGGUUUUUGGAACUCGAGAUAAUGAUUAAGAGGGACUGCCGGGGGCAUUCGUAUUACGGUGUUAGAGGUGAAAUUCUUGGAUCAUCGUAAGACGAACUACUGCGAAAGCAUUUGCCAAGAAUGUUUUCAUUAAUCAAGAACGAAAGUAG
RNAcentral lists this ribosomal RNA (400 nucleotides) under phytoplankton environmental sample. Its description in RNAcentral is "partial small subunit ribosomal RNA". It matches the Rfam family "Eukaryotic small subunit ribosomal RNA", at positions 587 to 992 of the family's 1831-position model. The record is from RNAcentral.